AGACAAAAUGAGUUUUCUCUGCAAAACCCAGUUUUCCAGAACUACUAGAUGCUGAGACAUGCACUGGAGGGACACGAGAAGGGGAGAAGAGUCAGUGCCUGCAAGGUUGCCUGCUACGUCCCUUCUAAGAACUGUCCCUUACAGUGUCCCAUCAACCAGUUUCACAGACAAGCUGAAGUCCAUGAUCUUUGCUCGGCACUUGCCUUCCUCACUUCUUUCACGAUCUUAAACUGAAGCACUGCACGGUACUCGCAGCCAAGACUGACUUCAACUAUCACAUCCCUAAACUGUUGCUCCUUAUCUGGAGAAGCAAGGCCAGCAGACAGCUUUCCUUAGCCUACCCAUCUAGGACGGCCAUCAAUAUAUUGUCCCCUCCACACUCUAGAAAUCUCUUGGAUUGCCCUACUGUGUCACAUUUUCAGUACGCACCAAGGUGGUUAAAGUUGCCCUGAGAACCAGGGCCUGAGAUGUAAGUGUUCUUUUAAGAAGACUUAACAGGAUAUUAGGAAAAUUCAGUUUGGAAGAGACCUCAGGAAGUCUCAUGUCCAACUUCCUGGUCAAAGCAGAAUCAGCUCAAACCAUCCUGCUAAGCAUUCUAUCCAGCUGGCUCUUGAAAACCUCCAAAAAUGAAGACUGAUCAGCCUCUCUGGGUCCCUGUUUCACCUCUUGACUGCCCUCAUCAUGAAAAAAUUAUUCCUUAUUGCCAGUGAGAAUUUCAACUAACUCCCAUCAUCUCUCAUCUUCCCACCACACUUUGCUUAGAAGGGCCUGCCUCUGUUUUCUUGAUAAUCUCUUUGUAAGCAUUGGAAAGCUGUUAUGAGAUUCCCCUGAAGCCUUCUCUUCUCCAGGAGCUGCUUAUUUUUGAUCAGACAGUUUUACAACAGAUGCUACCACCAUGUCUUUUACUGAGCUCCCAAUCUGAUCCUCACCCAUAGCUCUUGACCAGCCUGUUGCCCAGACUCCAAUAGCACCCCUAAGAGCCUGUGACCACUCACCAGAAUAGUGCAAUUGUGUGAACUUCCCAUCGUGUCUCUGCAAAUUCAAUGGCAUCACUGCACCGUGUAAGAGCAGACCUCCAAUUCCUUCCAGCACACCUGCAGGUAAAGACACUUUUGCCCCACAGUAUUCAGUUGAUACCACUGGUCCCUAGCAAUCCCCAUUUCUUGAAAAGGAUCCUGUGGUCACACAGUCCUGUACGACCGUGCCAUUGGGUACAUAGAGAAGUGUGAGCACGGAGGAUGCAUCCACUCCUGCCCAGGAUGGAGAACAUUUCUGGGGCUCCAUCUCUUCACUCUGGGUCACUGAGCCCCCCAGUCAUCCUCAACCUGCUAAGUAUUACUAGUGCCUACAUGAAAGAGUAGCAAGGUCUGAUGCUUGGCCUUGGCAACCUCCAUGCUGUCCUGGAUCCAGCCAUUGGGUAAGCAGCAAGCCUCGGAAGUCAUUAAGUCUGAUUAGCAGAUGGAUGUUCCCAUUCCUUGUGCUAAAUCCCUGUUACCCAUUGCUUCCUACAAAGCAUUGGCACUGGUUACAAGUAGUUGACCAGGCACAGCUAGCCCAAACACUUCUCUUGCCAGAACUAACUCCUCUCCCAUUCUCAGAGCACUAAACAUUUUACUAAAUCUUAAAUUACCAUUAACCUCACAUACCUGUGUUACUGAGGAUGAUAUCAAGUACAACUGAUAGGGCUGUUAACUUGCAUGAAAGAAACUGCUUGAGACCUGAGGGGGAACGUUACAGUUCUCAUUAGUGAUGGCUAUGAUUAAGGCUUCUCCAAGUGGAAAAUGUAAAGUGUAAACAGAGAGAACAUAGCUGCUUAUGAACAGGGCAAAAAAAAAAAAAAAAAAAAGCAAUAAAAAUAUUCCUUAAACUGUAAAAAAAUAAUUAAGAAAAAAACUUACAGUCAUAUGCACAUUCAAACUAAAAUACAUACACAGAACGCUGUGGAGAACCAGGGAAGUUGAUUACUUGUCCAUAUCACGAUGUAUGCUGUUUAUUGAGUGUGUGUGCAGACCUUUAAUGCCAGAUCUCACUGCGGUCAGGAGCAAAGCCAAAGCCGUAAAUGUAACACCCGAUUUUCAGGGGAGAUGGGAAUAUGGAAAAGAGUUUGGGAAAUUCUCCUACAAAGAUGGAUCUGAAUCUCUCCAGAGAACUACAGUACUUUUUCUACAGCCUUCAGGCACUGGGAUGUGGCACAAGGGCAUUCCUUCAUCCAGGUCAAUUUAGUGCAGCCAAAACUGCUAAGCCCAUCCCUUUCCUCUAUGGGAGGAAACUCCCCCUUCUGUCACUGGACUAUACAAGAGAGGGGAGGGAAAGAGAAGAAAGAAAAAAAACACCCCCUUCUGUCCACCAUUUUAGGGAGAGAAAAGGAAUACCUCAGCUGCUCUCCUAUCUCACAUCCAAAUGGAAAAGGCAGAAACCAGCUUGUUUCCUCACUGCAUUAGAGGUGAGAGGAAGCAGAAUAGGAAGAGGGCAGGAAGCAGCCAACAAAGGUAAGAAGAGAUGUUAAACUUCCCCAUGUCCUAAUGCUGCUGCAUUUGAAUCAAAACUCUUAUAAACCUACAACCCAGCUGUGGAAAAGGACUUUGGUAAAGCUGGGGUGGAGGGAAGGAUGGCUUUCGCAGUAGAAGUACUUGUUUUGCUUUGUAUUUGCAUGCUUCAUCCAAGUGUUACACAACAUGGAGUUUUAGAGAGCUGUACAAAAACAUGCACUUCACACAAGUCCAGGGAAAAACCCCAACCCCACUAAAAUCUGUUUAAAACAUAAAACCUCACCUGAGUCUAAAAGGACCCUAAUGCAGACCGCUCAGUAGGUACCGCAACAACAACAAAGGAAAAGAAAUCAUACAUUAGAAAAUAUUCCUGGCUUAGAUGUGACAAAACAGCUUUCCCAAGAUGAUUCUGUGUAACUCGAUGCCCCAAAUUCACUAACGUUUGCCAGGAUAGCAACGGCUGCUGCAGAAUUCCACUGGCAAACACUGUAUCUCACAUUUUUCUCUUUCUCAAUAUGCUGUGACUUCCUGUGGAGAAAUAAUCUAUACUACAAAGAGGUGCAGGACUAACACUUUUGGAAGGAAAUAAUUUUACAGCAGCCUACAAUAUAUGUAGAAAUAUAAUACUUGGGUAGAGAAAUUCCUGAGCAGAGAGAGACUAGAAAAACACUUUGAUAAACAAACGCCUUCAAAGCUUAUGUUAUUUUCCUCAGAGCAAAAAAUAUUGGGUAACUGCGUGCUGUUCCUAGAAAGAAUGGAAUUUUGUUGCCAACAGCUGUAGCUUUUCAGAGGACUUAUAAUACUAUAUUGAAGAUUUAUGCUCCUGACAAAAGCUUAAAGCUAUCCAAACUAGGGCAGAAAAAAAACAAUCGCCUUUUAAAAGACCUGUGCUAUUUUUGUUAACUCUUCCUACAGCAGACGUUAGGACCUUCAAAAACAGACACCCACGACUGGGGUUGAUCUUUGUAAUGAUUCAUAAGUCAAGCAGUGACACUGCACCGGGUCAACUACUCAAUCUCAGGUUCUUAAACAAGCAAGAAGUACAUCCUAAUCGUCUUGAAAUCAAUCAAAGUCAUAAGUAUUUACCUCCAAAGUACAUGACUUUAAGUUUUCUUCCUGAUCCUUUUGGGCUUACAGUUACGUUUUUCCUACCUUAAGAAAGGUUUCCCCAAGGUGUGGCCAUCUCACAGAACCAUACAAGAUAGGAGAUAAGGUAUCCUAGACAAAAGACUGUCCUCUGCAUAAACAAGCAAAGGGAUGAGAUCUCAGAUCUCUGUGUUGGACUUACAUAGAUGUAAGUAGCCCUACCUGCCUGCGGUCGGUCUCCUGAUGCCAGCAGAAACUGUUCCUCGAACUCUGCAAGAUUAAGGUCUUCUGUGCUCUCUGUAACUACAGCAGCUAACAGUAUCUGGAACUUUAAAGCUAAACUGAUACUGAGCAAAGAAACUCAGGAUGUCACAGUUUUUCAGGCUCAUAUAUUUGCAAGCAGCCAAGCAGCACACUCUGGGUUGAAUCCUGGGCCAAUUUACAGUUACAAUCUAUGCUGCUCCGUGAACGUUACGCUGAGUUACACAAAUUGUGAUUGACAAAUCCGUUGCCUUGAAACAAUUUGCCCAAAGCUCACGAUGAGUCAGUGGAAGUGUCUUGUUUAUGUCUCAGACUCUGGCUUCCAUCUCGUAGCUGCUCAGUCCACCAGAUCAUAACUACGGAGCACCACCAAAGAAGUUUUUAUUUCUGUCCUUCUAAAAUAACACUUUAAUUUGUUUGUUGUUUUUGUUUUGUUUUGUUUUGCUUUUACAAAGGGAAGAAAAUAAAUUAAAAGCUUCUUAACAA
Molecule: long non-coding RNA, 4322 nt
Organism: Gallus gallus (chicken)
Lineage: Eukaryota; Metazoa; Chordata; Aves; Galliformes; Phasianidae
Exons: 3
Source: RefSeq, a predicted model, not a curated record